AAUCACAGCUGAGGCUGCAUCUGCCACGGUUCACGGACCCGCCGCUCCAUGCUGGGGGACCAGAUGCCUCUGUUUACGCCGCUCUCCUCCUGGCCUUCUGCCGGCCGGUCGGCAGCAAGACAGAGCCCGGUAGCCCAUCACUGGGCUUCAGCUGUCUCCCCAGUCUUGUCUUUCAAUAUAUUCUCUUCUCUACCCCUUUUUGUCUCCACACCCCCUGCCCCAAAUGGCCAGAAGGGGUAUCUCUCUUUUUCAAGUUUGACCCCAUAGAACAAAGCGGAGAAAGACUAACCAGGGCGACUUUGAUUCCUGCCAUCCUCGAAACAACACAGUGUUCAAAGAUCAGGCCGGCCGGCGCGGUGGCUCAAGCCUGUAAUCCCAGCAUUUUGGGAGGCCAAGGCAGAGUCUUACUCCAUCACCCGGGCUGGAGUAUAGUUGGUGCCGUCUCGGCUCACUGCAACCUCCACCUCCCAGAUUCAAGCGACCCUCCAGCCUCAGCCUCCUGAGUAACUGGGAUUACAGACGUGCACCACCACAUCCAGCUAAUUGAUAAUAAUCUGAGAAGUUUCUUGAAGACCAUCAGCAUCUUCAAUGGGCGACUGGAAGAUACACUGUGGUUACCUGGGAGGCAGCCCAGCCUGGACCAGCAACCCAACCUGCUUCUUCAGAGCAAAACAAGAACUAGGAAUCAUCUUUUCACCUGGGAAGGAAUCAAGUAAAAAGCAAAAUUGAACUAAAGGCAAGGGUGACAUAAUUUGUAUUACAUACAAAUGACCAGAAACCACUGGUGGCCACAAAGUUUUACUUUGAGCUAAUAAAACAUAUGCAUGCAUCCAGUGUAAAUCUAA
Pan troglodytes (chimpanzee) is the source of this 845-nucleotide long non-coding RNA. RefSeq lists it as uncharacterized. The transcript is spliced from 3 exons. The record is from RefSeq and is a predicted model, not a curated record. Lineage: Eukaryota; Metazoa; Chordata; Mammalia; Primates; Hominidae.